AUGCGGGCUCUGGAGCAUCCUCCCUGCCAGGAGAGGGGAUGGGAAAGGUCAGGAGGAAAGGUCAGGGAGCAGGCCGGCAGGGCAGGGCUCAUCCAGGCACCCUGCUCUGGGCUCAGCCCUGUUCCAGGCACGCUGAGUGGUCUAGAAGGAGAAGAGGACCAGAUCUCUGCCCUCAGAGGAUCUCCUUCUGAAAGGGGAGACUGGUAUUUAUGGAAGUUCUUUGUAAGAAUGCCAGCGGAUCCCAGCAGUGCUGAGAGAAACUAGCAAAGGAGUCUCUGUCUGCUCCUGGGCUCAUGGUGAGAGAGACAAAUCUCCCACAAGCCUGGGAGUGGAGGAGGCCAGAACAUGGCUGGACGUGGAGGGUACUGGAGGUGGGGGGACCAGGAUUGCAGCCAGGAGGGCUCCUGCUCCCCUGAAGGGCCUCUCUUUGAACCUGGGGUGUCCCUGGGGUCCCUGGGAACAAAGUCUGUUGUCCUGGACUGGACUGGGCUGGCCGUUAGAACUGCCCACAUACUUUUGGCCUCAUCCUGGGGGUGGGGGGGCAGGCAGCCUAAGCAAGCCACUCUCAGGCCAGGCCUGGGUUUGGACUCCUGAGGAAGCUGCUCCCUGUGACCCUGGGUGCCCCUGGGUGCUGAGGCUGGGAGGAGGGGUUUGUUGCCCAUUGUGCAUGACACACCAAUGUGCUGAAACACCAGGUUACAUCAGAGAAAGAGGUUUAUCUGUGGGGCCACCAAACCAGGAGACAGAAUGAAACCUCAAAUCCAUCUCCCCAAGGAGUCUGGAGCCAGGGUUUUUAAUGGUUUUGGAGCAGGCCAGAGUGUGGAGAUUGUUGAUUGAUUUGAAUGCAGGGUGAAGUUAUGGGACAGGAAGAUGAAGAAACUGUGUUCUCACCCUGAUUCGGUUCCUCUUUGGGGGUCUUCAGACUGGUUGAUGUCAGCUGUUUCACUGGAAUUCAGGAUCUGCUUAAGUAAUUCUUAAACAAAAGUCUUAUGACUCUAACAUCAGAAAUCUUAUCUAUAGGAAUAAUUGGGAUGCAAAUGACCAGUGUCAAGUGCUACGUGACUGUCGGUUACAAAGAAGUGGGUCAAAGUGCAGCCUGAUUAACGCCUAUCACCAUAUGUCUGUCCAGAAUUCUUGUUCACCCUGCGAGGACGGCUUCAGCAGUGGCUUGACUGGAUUAGCAGAGAUUCUGCCCACGGUAAGGGGCUCUGCGCUGGGGCCCAGAGAAUGGGAACUCAGACUCCUGGGAUAAGUUCUCCCUUGAUCCUGGUUUCUGGGGCUUCCAAGUCUUCCUUCAAGUUCCCCUUCCCCAGCUCUGGCUCUUUACUGGGCCCCAUCUUAAACACUCAACAAGGACAUCAAAGCCAAGUCAGGCGGGGGGACGGCAGUUCUUCACUGGGUUCGGGGCCAGCUCGGCAGGAGAUGAGGAAGGUCUUGGUGGGGAGAGAAGCGGUACCUCUGUGAUUUCAAGGAGGAGAUAGGGUGGAGGUUCAUAGUGGCAGAAAGAGCCAGGGAUAGAGUCAUGAAGUCUUUUGCCCUCUGAUAUUAAAUUAUUUGUAAGCAAAUUGUCACCAAUGCAUCCCUAGAAGGUCCUGGCACUGCUCCGUGCCAUGGCCAUUCCUGGCCAGAUGGAGUUGCCCUGCGUGGCUGAGCAUCUCCGAGGAGGAGUGAGGUGUCUGCAGACAGAGAACCAGCAAUGACAUGGGACAUUAGGUGCUGAUGGCUUUGCUGAGCAAGAGAAUUGCAAUUAAGGACAUGAUGAGUCCCUCUGGGGGCUGUCAGACAAGGGUCCAGAGCAGGGGUCAGGAAGCUGGGGUUUAGAAACAGCAGCUGGAGGAGGGGGUGAUGAGAGGGGAGCCAGGACAAGGUGUGGGGGUGCAGCCACCGUCCUCUCAGCAAGUCUGCCAAGAACAACGAGGUGACAUAAUCCUAACAGCACCUUCCUUUACGCAGUGCUUAACAUGCCCACACUGAGAGGUAGGCAGUAUCAUUAUCUCCAUUUUACAGAUAAGGACACUGCAGACUGGAGGUUAAGUAACUCAUCUCAAGCACUUAAUGGAGAUGCAAUUCUGGCCCAGCACCACGGGGCACCAAAAUCAGGCCUCACAGCCACCCCACUGUGGUGUCCUCUUUCUAGAUUUUCCCCAGGCUGGCUCAGUUGAUGCCCAGGGCCACAGGCCAGCACUGCCCCAGCUUGGAUCUUGAGAUUUCAGGUGGGAAUUCCUGAGGGGUUGAGAGCUCACCCAGACAUUCUGUCUGCUACCCCGUGGACCCCACCUCUCCACCUUGCUGUGGGGCAGGGAAGGGAGGGACAUCUGCUUGGAUGACAGGCAGAAGCCAUUCCAGGGAAGAUGGUAGACCCAGGGAGGUGGGAGGGGAAGAGGGGUGCGUGCGUCACCUCAGAGUUGGUGUCUGAGCUCCCCAUCUUGCUCAAACCUCCCACCACAGGGAACCCCCACUCCUGAUCCUCCCUCCUUGGACUUUGUCCAGUGACAUCAUUGUCAAUAAGAAGUUCAUCCUUAUCCAGAACAAGCAUACCUGAAGGAUGGACACCCACUGCUCAGCCUCCCUCCAGUCCUGCUCAUUUGCACGUGCCCACCACACCCCGGGGCACCCUGAAGGUCAGCUGAUAUGUGGGAAGCAACCGACGAACAGCUCUGCCCUUUUUAGGAAUUGUUCAUAUUUUGCACUCAAAAUGCAAAAUGGGGAGAGAAGGAAAGGGAUGAGGUGAAAUGCGAGGGGGAUGAGAAAUGAGAGGCUCAGAUGCUUGGGACCAGGCUUCAUGGCAGUGCCAGUAGGCAGCAGACAAAGGUGCUGAAAGAAGGGGAAAUAAGAGGUGAGGGAGUGCAGGAUGAAGGCCAGUUUGCCCAGAAUACCCGUCCCUUCAUUCCCAGCAGCCCAAAUCUUAUUCAUCCUUCAAAACCCAGCACAGAUGCCACCUCUUCCAUGAAGCCUUCUCUGACCUCCACCUGAAGCUUUCUUUCUCCCUAAGUACCUGUCCACAUUGAUCUCAUGAACCUUGUCACGCUCUGCCUUGUGUUGUGCAAACCUGGCUAGACUCAGAGCUCCACAGGGCAGAGGCCGGGCCUUGCUCAUCAUCCCCUUACAAGACCCCCAUGACUAAGUGUGGGAUCCAGUGGGACUGAAGGAGAGGAGCGGUUCAUGAUGAUGCUGGAUAGGAGGUGGAGUGCACUCAGCUCAGAGGACAGAGGGGUGGCUCAGGAAAUAUCAGCGGAAAGGUGACUGAGGAGAGCUGCUGCUUGCAACCUGAAAUCUAGAUUAUAUUUGAGGACCAAAUAGAAAAGAAGCCUGUUUCUGCAGAGUCCGGCAGCGCUGGGAAAGUGAAUGCAGCCAGCUCGUGCCAUCUCAGGGUGGGGGGAGGGGCAAGCACAGUCUUCAGGGAGAAUAAGCUUUUUGGAAAGACAUGCCUCUCACACCCCAUGUGGGGUUUUUCGUUGUUGUCAUUGUUGUUGUUUUUGAACAACAGUGAGUGACUCUGUCACCUAGGCU
Molecule: long non-coding RNA, 3510 nt
Filed under: Papio anubis (olive baboon)
Lineage: Eukaryota; Metazoa; Chordata; Mammalia; Primates; Cercopithecidae
Description: lncRNA (ENSPANG00000038792.1)
Source: RNAcentral